CAGGACAUAGAAUCUCAGACUUGCAAAAAUGAGAUAUUCUGGUAAAUAUUUUCAGAUUGUAAUACCAGGGUUGGUUGAGGAAAAAGAACAAAUUCCCAGAAAUAAAAAUGCUUAUCAUUACCUACCCAUACCAUGUUUAGCUCUAUUUCAAUAAAUCCAGCCUUCAGUUCUCCAAGCAUUAAAAAAGCACUACAACCCCUUCAGUUUAAAAAAAAAAAAAAAAAAAUCCCGUCACAAAUACUUAAAAUUAUUAUACUGAAAAAUGUUUUUGCAGUAGGCAUACUUGAUAUACAGCCACUGAACUGUAUUUAUUGCCAUCACCAUUGAGUGAUAAAAUUUAUGAUAAGUUUCUGGUUCUAGGCAAAAUUCUAUGAGAAAUCUCACACUGCAUCCAUCCUUUAUUAAUUUAUUCAUUGCCAUUAUUCCAAGUGUUUCACUGUAGUUUACAUUCUUAAGCAUUUAAUACUUAAGAAUACUUUUAGGAAAAGUACCAGUAUGUAUAUAUCCUGUUAUUACAGGAUAUAAAGUGGGUCACUCUGUUUUUAAAAUAGCUUAAUGGCAUAUGCUUCUAUAUUUCUAUACCUGUAAACUUAAUUGUUAUGUACCAUAUAUACAAUUAAAGCUUUCAUUGUAAACUACCUCAACUAUUCCUACUGUAAGAAAAUUUUAGAUUAAUAAAGAAAAAGUAUUGUGUCAGCUUUUGGGUUAUUUUCAGUUAUAUCAACCAGCUAUGACACAAAACUGGUCUGUAUUUGGUUCAUGUAAUUAAAUUAAUGUAUCCACCAAAAUAUGUCUACAAAAAUUAAGUCUGUUUAAGAAAGUUAGUAUGUUUUUAUAAGAAGAAUUGCAUAAAUAAGACAUAGUCCGGGGCCAAACUUAAAAUAUGUACCGUGUGAUCUUUCAAAUUGCCUUAAGGAAACUGCAUCCAGAAAAUUCUGAUUAUCAACCUCUAAGAAUAUCACAAGAAUAUCUUAAAUUUUUCUAAUGUCAAUAAAUUCUAUGAGCCUCCUCAUUAUUUUAAGAAUGGCUUCUUUGGUCUCGUUUGCUUUUUGCUUCUGUUCCUCAAAGAUUUUUUUUAAAAAGGCUGAAUAUUUAAAAGUGGGUAUGGACAAGAACAAAUUCUAAAUGAGAUCAAUAUUUUUGAGUGUAUAUGUGGUGAUGAAGGCAUCUUAUUUGUGCUGCAUAAGUUGCAGUCAUAAAUUAAAACCAAGCAAAUACCUCUACUUGGACGUGAAUGCAUAACUUCAGAUCUGAUCCCAAUUCUUCUUUAGCAGAAGUGCAAAAGUGCUGAUUUCUCACCACUUCCUAGUCAGUAAAUUGAAAGAACAAACAUUGACACAAACAUAAAGAAUGAUGACAGCUGCAGAAGCCUGUUCUACAUUAGGAUUGCCUCUGGUAGAAUUAAAUAUAAAAUAUUUUAUAAUUCUGUUUUCAUAAAAUUAAUUUAGAGAAGUUUGUUCUUUUUUUUUUUUAAUUCUAUGUUAAUCUCUCUGCAGAAUAUAGCAACAAUUUUUUCCCUAAGAAGCAUGAGUUAAAAGUGAUAAUUUAAAUCCUAUGGAUUUUGUGAAAUUGUAGAGCAUGACUAAUAGAUUUUCUAAAUAAAGCCAUUAGGGACAUGAUACAAAACAGUACAGUAUAAGAAUAAGCAAGUAAUUUUGGGGAUUUCAGCUACUGUUAAUCUCUAUUUGCACCCUCCUUGACUUCAGCUCUAUUCUUGCCUUUGUCCUCUUAUGCUUAGUCUUGAGUUCACAGCAGCCCCAUGCCACCUAACCUUCUCUUUGUUAUAGGUAGGAAUCAGCAUCCUGUGGUAAGAAAGUAGCUGUAAGAGAGGAUGGAACUCGUAUUCUAAUUGCUAAGUUCAUAAUGAGGGACAGGGGAUGAAUGAACACUUUUCCUACAUUAAUUCUACUAUCUGCUUAUUACUUUUAAGAGCUAAAGUUGAAGUACAAGAAUACCUACCCCUUCAGCAUACUCACCUAAAUUAUUUUACAUUUCCUAAAUUAUUGGGUAACAUUAUAUGCUAUCCUUGAAAAUUAAUCUAGUUGAUUAGGAUUGAAAGAGUUGUUGCAUAUUCCUGUAGACUUCCUAGAAGUUGUAUCUUAAACAGCACCUUUUUUUUCAAUCAUGCAAAAAGCAUGUCCACAGCAAAAGAUGAAGGUGUUUACCAAGAUUCUUUUUAUACAUAGAUUUUGCCACUGGUCUUCAUAUAAGCAUUGGAUUUCCAUCAUGGCUCCUUUUUCCUGCCAUUCUUUUUUCUAGUAUUUAAUACUUUCCCUGACAUCUGUAGAAGUCUACUGUGUACCAUGUACCUAAAAUUGCUCAGACCUUAAACAGGUCUUCAAUAUCCUUCCUUCUUUUGUCUAAGUACACUCAAUCUGUCAGCCUCUGUUUCUGGAUGUGAAGUCCAGUGUCAGGUUUUCUGGUCAGACUGGGAAAGUGUUUUAUUUCUUUCAAAGAUCAGUCUAGUAUUAGCUACAGAUAACACAUGACAGGAAGGGCAUGUUUAGUGGAGUUUACAUGCACUGUAAAAUCAGAAAGUUGAAAGACGUUUUAUGUUUUCUAAAUAUACUUGGCUUUGGUGUCAUUUCUUUGUUUCUACUGAACUACUGGGGUAUAAAGUCAAUAGCAUUUUCUGAAGAGGGAGAAGCUCAGUGACCAGUGUUUCUGUUAAAUGCAGACCUUUCAUUGUCACUGUCUGAUCUUCACUGACAGGCACAAAAUUUCAUUAGUCUCAUACAAACUGCAUGUAGAUAUAAUUUGAGAACUUCUUAUCUCUAUUUGUCAGAGAGAGCCUCAGCUGACCCUUCAUACAGUUUAAGAUCAGUUUGAGGUGUGUAAAAAGACCUCCUUAGGCAGUGGAGCUGGGACUGUUUUUUCCUCAAAGGAUAAGUAAUGCUAAGUCACAAAUAAUUAAAAGCAGACAAGUAAAUGCCUUGAUUGUUAAAACCGGUAUCCUGGCUGAGAGUGAGAGGUCUCCUUCACACAAUCACAGAGGUAUUUAUAAAAUAAAUUGCCUUGCAAUUCCUUGUUAUUCCCAAUUCUCAUUAUAUCAGUAUGAAAAUGGAAUCAGAUAAAAAGUGAUCUUGUGGUUUAUGCACUUUGAGUGCAAAGUUUCUUUUUUAUUUGUUUGUUUGUUUCAGGAAUCAGUAGUUGAUAUAAUAAACUUGCCAAUCAGUCAUAGGAAUUUUCACUUCUUUUUUUCAGUAUAACAAAUAUUCAUGGGCACAGUUAGUCAUGGAUUUCAUCUGAGAAAAGCAAAAUGUUUCUAUAUCUUUGGGAGACCUGCAAUAGUCUGGAAAAUUAUUAUGUUGUCUGUUCAUCCACUCUACUCUUCUGCUGUGCAUAUGCAACAGUAAGUUUUCCUCAUAAAAUUCUCAGCACAUAGGAUAUGCUAAGUAUAACCAGAAAAAUACAGUUGCACUUGAGGCUAGCAAGACUUUUGUUUUCUUGAAGGUGCUUUUGACCUCCAUCAUUCUAAAAUUUUCAUCUAUUGCAUAUGUUGAACAAUAUAAGCAUGUUUUGUGACUCCUUAUUCCUUGUGUGCUCAACUGAUGUUUCUGUAGAUAUUGAUAUUUAAGAGAUGUCUUGAAAUGACAGUCUUUGCCUAAAAAUUACACAGGGUUUUCUGUUUGCCUUCCAUUAUGAGGCCUCUUGAUUUGAAUUAGUCAGCUUCUUACAUGUGUCAGUGAUGUCACACAGUAGUAACUGGUGUGAAGGUUUGAUUAGCUCCCUUCAUGUUUUGCAUUAGUUUUUAUGAUUACUAGUAUUUAUUAUUCUUGAUAUUAAUCAUAAUACCUUCAGAACAUUGGGCACUUGGAUCAGGCUAUGGAAAAUAUUAAUAUCACAUAACUAACAACAGCAAAGUGCUUCAGUGAAGAACUUAGAACUAAGUCAAAUAUGAAAUAAAAAUUCAUUUUAAUCAUAUCUGCAAAUAGUUUGAGGUAUGAAAUACACCUUGUAUAAAUGAAUAUUUAUAUGAAAAUGAGAAAAUGAUGCAGAGAAGAAAUGAGAUUGUGAUCUGGAGAAACUAUGACCACUAGGACAGCAAUUCCCUCAGCUUUUCAGAGAUGCUUCUUGAAAUAGAUCUUAAAUUUUAUCUCUUCUGAAUUACUCCAAUUCCAUUUAACUAUAUCCCAUUUUACUAAACUGAGUUAAUUUCUCUAGUUGUAAUUAUUUAUUGCCAACUAUUAUAGAAGGGGCCUUGCAAAAAGCAGCUCAACUACAUGGUGAGUUCCUUGUCCAGUUCCAGUGAAAAUUCAGGCAGUGCAACUCUUACAUGAAUCCUUUGGUUGACAAAGACAUGGGUUGACGACAGAGAAUAUUAUACUCUCUCAAUUCUCUUGUACUGGUGUGGUCUUCAAAUUUUAAAGUAUUUCUGUAUUUUACAACUAAGUGGUAGAGGGUAAGAUGGCUGAUUUAAGAUGAUGGUACCAUUCCACACAAAAGGAAAGAUCAGUAUUUGUGAAGCAACAAAAUCAGAUUCUCAUUUUGUGCUCCUAUAUUUCCCCUAUCUGUUGCGUUGCGGUCAGCACCCUCUCACCGCGACAACCUGAGCGCGGGCGUGCUGGGGGGCGAAGGAAGAAGACGGCCGGCUGAUCCCCCUGUGAAGCUCUGCAGUCCCAGUACUGGCGCGGGGACAGAUGGAGGCGACACGGGACUUGGGGGUGAACAGGAUGGAUUUAUUCAGUGAGCCCCAAGACCCUCCAGGGAGGGCAAACAAAGAUUUUAUACAAGAACUCAGGAGGAGGGGUAUAGGAACAGUAACUAAUAGGUGAAUAGUAGGGGAGGAGUUUAGGGCAGGACUAACAUAUCAUAAACCUAUCAGGGAAAACAGGGGAGUGGAGUAACACAAAGUAACCAAUAAGGUGUUGAGCCUCACUAAAUAGGCAGGGACUGUCCUGGGGAAAGGGGCAGGGAAAGGGAGGAUUGACAUCUUGGAGAGAAGGGGGUUAGUAAUAAACUAGGGAAGAUUAACAACUGGGGAAGGGAGGAGAUAGUAGGGGGUGGGUAUGAACAGACACUGAAAGAAUAAAAAACAUGCCACCACAUCUAUCUUUUAUUAUUUCUUCCCCUAAAUUUUAUGUUAAGGCUCAUAUUUUAUUUUCUUUGUGCAUUUAUAAAAUACUUUAUCUGGAUGUAUAAAAAAACAAAAACUAUUCUAACAACAACAACAAAAGUUUAUAUAAUUUUUAAGCUAACAAAAUGUUAAUGCUACUAAAAUCUAAAAUUUGGUCAUGCAUAUAGGUGAAAUAUCUUCCCAUGAACAGAAAUAUUAAAAAAGAGAUACAAGAACCAUCCUGUAAAAGCAUAAUCUGUUUCACAUUUCUUUCCUUAUUUGUAUUUUCUUUAUUGUUUUGUUUCAUUUUGUUGUCAUAAAACAGUGCUGUUUUGCUAAUAAAUUUAUUUUAAUUGUCUUUUUGAAGAGGAAGAGUGAGGGAUUAUAAAAGGUUGUUUUCUCCUAGAAACAUGACUUUUUUUAUUAAAGUUCUAAACAGUUUACAAAACAUCUAAAAGUUUGUGAGACAUUCUAAUAUAUCCAGUUUUCCUAAAUAUUAUUGGUUACCUGUGAUUUUUAUAAAGACUUUUAUACUAUUUCUAUAUAAAUUAUCUUUAUACUUCUGUUUGAGAAUCUAUGAUUUAACAGGGCAUAAAGUAGGAAAAAUAUGGGAUAUAUCAGGUCUUUAUACUAAACACUGCCCUUAAAUGAAAUUAUAUCUACAUCUCGGAAAUAAGUUCGAUAAACUAGAGCUAUAAAUAAGAAGUGCCUUUGCAAAUAAAAUGUUUGCUCUUAACCAUCAAAAUAUUGCAUUUUUAACUCAACAUUAAAUAGACAAGGUUUCAAGAAAAUUAAAUCUUUAUGCAUCGUAUUUAUAUGAAAAAAUACAGAGCCACCAAUAAUGAAAACCAAUUAAUUGAUGUUGUUUCACUGGUUAAAUAUAAAUAUGGCCAUUUUCUAACAGGAAAAAUUAUAUGGCUCCAUUAAACAUUUUUGUGUCCCUCUAAUAAAAAAUAUUCAUAGCAGCUGCAGUAUUAUCUUUUAGAAGUAAGCACCAGCACAUUUGCCAUUUGGUUUAGUGACUUUUUACAAUGGUUGAGAGUUGCCAUUCUCUGGUAACUCUAGAUAUACCGUUUGAAGUUGAGAUCACACCUCUGAUUUGAUUAUGCUGUAGAAAAACUUAGCCAACUUUUCAAAGAAAGCCACUACUUCCACAGUUAUCAAGAAAGAGCUACUACUAGAUUGUACCACUGGGCUUGGCAAUACAUUAUGUGUCUCCUUUUUUUGUCACUCAUUGCUGGUAUCCAGCUAUUUGCCACUAAGAAAAAGAAGAAAAACACUGCAACAAGUAUUAUCCAAAUAAUAUUAAGCACCAGGCUAAGCAGGCCUUGAAGCCAGUUUCAUCUCAACAUGAGAAAGGUUUUCUUCACCUUUGUUACACCAGCGUUCAAAGAGACUGAAAAAGACACCUGGGUCUCCGCAUGCCUGGGAGUCCUCAAAUUACCAACCUGGUGUGGCACUGAAAAGGCUGGCCAAAUGGCCAUACUUUAGGAAAUUAAACUGAGGAUUUCUGAAGUUAAUUCAGGUCUAUCUGAAAUAUAGUUUGGUGUUAAUAUUGAAGACAUAUGUUCAGUAAGUUCAAUGCCAAUAAUGUCAGAGUCCCUGCCUUUCCAUUCCCUAAGUGUCUUUCAUAUCUUCUGCUGCGCUCACAGUGUGCCUUAUGCUUUUAUUUUAAACUGUGACUCCAUUUCCAAGUACAUGCUGUAGCUUCUGGGAAACCAUUCAUAAUUAGAGAAGUUUAAUAACCAGAAUGAAUAUUUAUAAUAUAAAUUAUUUGAUGCAUAAUCUUAGUCAUAAAAUUAUUUUCUUCAUGCAUUUCUGACUAGCUUUAGUGACAGCAGCACCAAAAUAUUCAUGAAAUACAAAAUGCUAUAAAACAGCAUGUUACAUUGAGCUGUACAUUUCUCUGAGACAUGGUCUUUUUCUUCAUUGUAAGAAAAAAUAUUUCAAAGAAAAACAGGAAAUUGCUAUAUGCCAUAAAUAAGAUAGAUUUAUUUCUAGCAGAGAUAUGCUGUUUUCACUCAUAAUCAAAACUGUUUUAUUAAGCAAGAUUUUCCUGGAGACAAAAAGGACCACAAUGUUGUAGUGCUGUUUUCAUGUUGGUAUUGUGUUCAUAUUAUUUAUUAAUAUAAUUCAAGUUUUUCAUUGAUUUGAUAUGUGUGAAAUGGUCUACCUGGCUCACCACCAUCAGUUGAAAUAUUAUUGCUUCUACUUCUUUUACCUUCUUUUUGAAACAUUUUUUUUUCCUUAAGUGAAAUAUUCUGUUUUGGUGUCUAAUUCAAAAUGGUCAUAUUGUUAUUUCUGUUCUGUUCUGUUUACUUCUUUCUGAUGAAAUACUUCAUACAAUGUCAUUUAGCAUUUCAAAUAUAUAGUUAUAGUCAUUAGUUGCCUUGGUGAUGAAUGUGUUUUGUACCUGAGGGACAGUUAUGUGUACUUCUCUGAUGUAUUGAUGUAGAUUAUAAUUUGACAGGAACAUUCUAUGUAUCAGAAUUUUACUGGUAAGAAAAUGCCAAUAAUGAAUUUUAUGAGACUAAUUAAAAAUAUAAUUCAAACACCAUUUCUUUUAAAUUUGUAUUACACAUGAUUUUUUUCCAAGACAAUUCAUUAAAAGGCCCGCUACAGUUUGUAAUGGGAGUCUGCAUCUUUUGGUCAUCCCAAAAUUUCUUUAACAAACCUUAGCAAGACAAGCUCACUAUAAAGAUGAAGGCAAAAACACAUUAAUCAGAACAAAGCUAGGAUUUACUGCAGAAGCCCCAGAUGAUUAAAACCCAAAGAGUUAGCUCCUUGGCAAGGAAUUAUUUAAAGGUGGCUUACACAUCCAUUGUGCGUCCGUCAAAGGAAAAUCCCUAAGCCAUUCUCAGGCCUCUGACAGAUAGCCCAGACCUCUGAGCUGCCAUUUCAAAGUGGAGUGGAAAUUAUCAAAUGGGUAAGGCUAGAGGGAAGUAUUUCAGACAUACCCUUCUAUGUGGCAUUUCUCUCUGGACUGGCUGCCCAACAUAUGUUUUUAAGUGAUUUUAUGAACUCUUACUCUUCCAAUUUCAACACAGAAAGAGGAGGGACCUUACUUUCUGCUCUGCAUUCUGUGUCAGGUCCAAAGUAGUUUAAAUACUCUAUUGAAAUAUGCUUAAUUUUUAUUUUAAUAAAAUUUUUUAUUUUUAUUAUCAAAAAUAUUUUUCAUCUAUCUUAAAGAAUUUAACAACAGCACCCCAUAAAUACACACACCCAUUUCUUUAAUGGCCAUAUUAUGAUCUCCAUGUUCACAUCAGGAAACAGUUAUUGCAUGACCAUGCAAUGCAUGCUUUUAGCCUGGCCCUGAAAGAGGAGUAUGAUAGCAAAAACUUAGACUUUUCAACCAGAAUUCAGUAUAUCUACCUUUUAACAAAUUGCUCUGGAACAUGCUUUUUUAUUGCAGAUCCUUUAUUCUCCAGAAACUUUAGAGUUUAUAGUGAUAGCUUUGAUAAUAUUAAUAGACAUAUAAUAGAUGAAGACAGUAAUUUAGUAAGAAGUAAGUAUGAAGAGGAAAGCGUUGUGUAGGAAUGUAUUCUCACUGGGUAACUGGCAUGAGGUAUCUUUCAUGAGCUGAGGCGGCCAGCGUAGAGAGGUUUUGCCAGAGCUCAUCUCUGACAGGUCAGGUCAAGCAUACUCACCACAGCAUCACUCUCCAUAUUUUGUGGCCCUGUUCUGGAAGUUCCUUUAAUGUAAUGUCCAACCAAUAUUUCAAUUAUCUUAAGUAAUUCACAAAGUUUCAGCUGCAUUUUCAUUAAGCUCUCAACUCCUGCCACUAUCAACAUGCUCGACCUUUUAAUUCUUCUUGUAAAUCAGGUCUCAGAUGAGCAGCUCAUAUUCUAACCCAUUAACUGCCAGGACAGUCACAAGUCUGAGCAAUUUCUCACAAUGACUUAAGACUAAGCAGUAUCACAGAACUGGAAACAUCAGUACUGCCACUCUCAGCUUUGUACUUUCUUAGGCAGUGGCUGUUGCCGCAAUUUCUGCCAAUUUGGGAAAUUGUGAUGGCAUAUUUUCCCUUUGUUGACACACAAAAAAAAUGCGCUAUUACCUUCUUGUUUUAUUUGUUUGGGAACAUUUUUUCCUCAUGUCUCAUGUAUAAAUUAAUGCUGAAUAUUACUUUUUCCUGGAUAGAUCAGCAACUUAUGUGCAAAUUGGACUAUAAUGCUCUUGCUUCCAAAACCCAUGAUAGGAGGAACUAUAGCCUGCUAAUGAGUACUGAGGGACCAUUUGUAGCCUUCCAAAAAAUUCAGGGCACUGUAUUGUUUAAACUUGUGAGUAUUAUUUUCAUAAAGGGUUAUGAGCUGUUGCAUGUAUUGUGGUAAAUUAAACUUUAAAAUAAUCUUUUUUAAAUCACUGGAAUUACUCAGUGGAUACAUGCAGUCUAUUGUGUAUGAUUUAGGUGAUUCCCCACUUAAAAGGAACACUUUACUAUAACUUAUUUGAAUUUCAUUGAAUUCGCAGCACAAAUAUGCAAAGGGAAAAAGAUCUAGAACCUUUAUUCUUUCUCUCCCUAUCACAUGGUUUCAGUAUAGAGAUCCCUCAUAGCACAGAGGAUCAUUUGGUCCAACCUUCCUGCUACAGCAGGGUAAUCCUGGAGCAUAUUGCAGAGAAUUGCUUCCAAACAUUUCUUGAAUAUCUCCAGUAAGGGAUACUCUGACACACCUCUGAGCAACCUAUUCCAGAAAACAUAAACCAAUUAUUUACUGGCUUUCACAGACAAUAUAGGUCUAAAAUUUAAGAAGCUAUUAUCCUAAGGAUUAGAAUCUUUAUUCUUCUGCUAAGGCACCUUAAAAAAAUUGAAAUAAUCGGUCCAGUAGGUGAAUGAUUUCCAAAGGAACUUCAGAGUGAUGUGCUGGAUAUGGGAGAGAAAAGCUGUAGAAAAAUAAACAAGGAUAAAACUCACCCACAAAAAUUUUGCCUUAAAAGGUAAAUACAUUAUAUAACCACAAAAAAUCUGCUGAACUCCAUCAGGAAAAAAAUCUCAUCAUACAUCCCUCAUUGCAUCAUCUGAAAGCUGAGGAAUAAAAAUCAAAAAGAACUACUGAAAAACCUUCUCCUUCCAUAACCCAAAAUUUUGGUUAUUUUGCAUUGUUUAAGAAAAAAAUUUGGUUUUGAAUUUCAUGAGCUGAGGCAGCUGUUGUGCAGAGGUUUUGCCAGAGCUCAUCCCUGAUGGGUCAGGUCAAGCACACUCACCACAGCAUCACUCUCUGUGUUUUGUGGCCCUGUUCUGGAAAUUCCUUUAAUGUCAUGUACAACUAAUUUUUUAAUUAUCUUAAAUAAUUCAUAAAGUUGCUUGUGGAACCAAGCCUCCACCAGAACCUCUCCUGUUGCUUGGUAUUAAUUCAGGGCCACCUGCCUACCAGCGCUGUGGCUAUGCUGCAAUGCUGCUGCUGCUGUCUGCCAUGCUGAGACUCCUGACACGAGCUGUUCUUUGUCCAUUCUGGGGGUUGAAUACACAAUCUGUUGGCUUGAAAACUGAAGUAGAAAAUAAUGUGUGAGCUGCUUUCUUAUUUUCUAAAUGAGAAUAUCUUAUUUAUGUGUACUUGUAUGCAAUAAAAAGGAAGGUAAAAAAUCAAUGCUGACUUUCCCUUCAACAUAAUGUAUAAGAGCAUUCCACUGAUUUCUUCCUUUUCCUAUCUUUUAGUUAGGAAAAUCAGAUGAAGAAGAAUUACAGCCCUGUGUGUGCUCAGGGGGGAAAAAAGAGUUUUCUGUUGCUUUCUGAUAAGAUGCACUGACAGUUUUAGAAAAUACGAAGUGAGACUAUCACCUCACUUGAAAGGAGGUGCAAGUGGAAGGCAGCCGUACUAACACAGCUGUAUGCUUCCUUCUCUGGCUGCUGACCCAAAGCCAUCAAAGCUCUUUUAACUGCUGGCCAGUCAGGAUAGUUCUGGAAGAACAGAAGGGUCAGUGCGGAUCAGUCUCAGUACUGAAAAAGAUUGGCGCAUUUUCCAAAUUUACUCAGAAAAGGGAGAGAGUAGGUAGUUAUGUACAUAAUCAUGCAACAUGCUCCUAAAGCUAUAAUUCUUAAACAAAAAUUACAUGUGGAUUGCAAAACUGCUUAUGGAUUAUGGCCAAUUUGAAUAAUUUAAUUUCUUUACCAGAGCCUCAAAAAUUGAGGUAAUUACCUUGUUCUUAACUGGGGCUAGCAGUGAAGUUUUAGCAUUCCCUUUGCCUCUCUUGUUUGCAGGAGUUAAGAAUAUCACCCACAGCUUUUGCAGCUGUAUCCUUCUGUAUUUUAAUUACCAUUUUGCAUCCUGGAUUUUUAGUAAAGAGAAUUGACAUUAAUUGCUUUAAGAAUUUAAUAAUUAAAAUAUUGUAUUUAGCUUGUGGAGUGUUAGAUGAUAAAGGAAAUCAUAUUAAAAUGUAUUUUAACAAGUAAGUAUUAUUUCAAUAUUUAGUUUUGCUGCAAAAGAGAGUGGCUAGCCCCAGGCACAAAUAAAUUCAGUAGGACCUUCUAAAUUAUAUCCUGUGAUUUCAGAUCAUCUCCCAAACCUGAUGCUACGAAACUAUCCCAAAUUUCAGAACCUCCCUCAGGUUACCUGUCUGUUCCAUGAUGUGAAUGUCAAACAGAUCCGGUACUCCAUCAUAGUAUAUCAGUGUUAGCUCUGUUCCAGGAACAGCAAAACAUUAAGAAGUUAUAAAGAUAUACAAAUAAAACUGUCUUUUUUUCUGACAGAAAUAAUUUUGUAAACAUAACAAAAAGGAAUAAAAAUUAUGCAAUUGUCAAAAUUUCACAUUCUAUGUGAGAAUAUUUAAUUUUUUUUGUUGUUAAACAAAAGUAAAUAUGCAGUUAAAAUAAUUCAACUGUACCUGAAAAAUAGUAUUUAAAAGAUUUUUGUCACUAAAAUAAAAUUUCAGUUAAAAGGACUUUUUAGCUUUAUGUUGUGUUAAUGCAUACAGAGUACCCUACUCUCUUCUAGCUAAUUUUCUUUUUAAAAUAUUGGGUAGGAGAUUCAUAAUUAGGGCUGAUAACACUCCUACAAAAAUCCUAUGAUAGUUGUUUUAUAUAAUUUGUUUUUUCCUCAUUUCUAUCAACUGCACUUAUAGAGAAAAUAUACAGUUCUUCAAGAUCUAGAGUGGCAAAUCCUGCAAAGUGAGAAAGGACUUCCCCUGGUACAAACUUUUUGAAGAGUUUAAGAGAAUUUUGAGAAAGCACAUCAUAUUUUACUCUGUUAAGAACAUAUUGAAUUUUCAUUUACUUAACAAAAAUAAAAUACAUUCAUACAGUCUAGUGAGUUUUUGUGCCAAUGCAGAUGAUUCCCUGAUCAAGAAAAAGGAGAAUUUCUUUGCUUCUAGUGUCUGAGGGACUCUGACCCUGAGGAAGUCAUGAAACUUGACAUUUCAAGAGACUGUUCCAUUGAUAUAAUUCCUACUUUUACUUGUCCUAGGUAAGUCAUACCACCUGUUCAGUUGCUUUUGGAAAGUGCAAGAAUGGCUAGGAACUAUAGAAAAGGCCGAACCCAUUCUCAUAAACCAAUAUAAACAAUUUGGUAAAGAGCAAGGAGAGGUAGUUCCCAUUAGGUCACUGCAACUUUGCUGGUGUUUUUGGAAUUUAAGGAAUUUCAAGAAAACUUAGUUGAAAGAAAGUUGCAUUAUUAGUUUUGCUUGUGUGACACUUCAUAGCCAUGAAUGGAGAAAUGGGAUUAAAAUUGUUCCCAUACUUUGUCACAUUUAAAACAAAUGGGAACAUUUCAACAAAUUGAUUUGGGGUUGCCAAUAAUUCUCUUUAGUCCAUUCUAUUUUUGCAGCAAUAUGUGUUUGAGAAAGAUCUUUUCAGCAGAAGUUUUGUUCUGACUUUAUCCUCCUUGAUCCUUCCACACACUGUAUUGAUUUGCAUGGCUUCUACAGCGUCUGCUCUGCACUGCUGUUUGUAUGCAUCUUCUUAUCUUAGCAUAUGUUUUCAACACUACUUCAAACUAGUUUAUCUCCUGCAUUUUACUUUGCAUCCAGAAAGUUAUCAUUUGCCUUAUGAUUAGUUUUGGACACACUGCUCAGAGGACUACAUUGACUCCAAAAAAUACCCUGACAGUUUCCUUACUUUAGAUCCUACAUUUCCUUAUUUAACAUAUUAUUUUAAAGUAUUUUCAGAAGCUAAUGAUUUUUUUAAUAUUCUCUCUUAGUUCACAGAACAUUUGGCCACAACUGUAUGCAAAAAGGAGAUCCAUUUGACUUUUGAGUUUCCAAAGGAAAUUCUACAUGACUUUUUACUUUAUGUAAUGAGAGUGUAUACAUUUUUUUUUGACAUAUUUUUUAUGUGUGUGCUUUCAAAAUUCAUCUUUAUUUCUGUUUUUCAUAAAUUAUACUGGUGUUUCUGCUUUCUUAAUCAUCUUUGACUGCCUUUCUUGUCUGCAAGACACUUGGCACCUUUACUUCAAGGGGUGGAUAUUCUUGGUGGGUACCAUUUCUAGGCAUGGGAGGAACGAGAUUAGUGUUCAGGUUGUGAUACCCAUGUAUAUGUUGAAACGUGAACACAACAUCUAAUGUUGCCAUAAACUAGCUUGAUCAAUUGUGCUAUGGCAAAAGAGACUACUGGGACACAUAGCCAGCAGUCACCUGGGGUGUGGGAGGGUCUCCCAGAGCGGGCUGUUGUGCUAAUUUCACUCUAUUAUUUCCCAUAGAAUCUGUAAAGUCUGAUUCUUUGAUAUAUGUCUUUGCUUUGAAUUUGUUUUAUGAAUUUGUUUUUCAUUACUUGAUUUUAUUUUGCAUCAAGGCUGUAUUUGAAUUUGCUUGUUAGCAGCUACUACUACACUAAGAGAGGUUAUAAGACAUUGCUUUUUACAAACACAUCUUCUACUAGAAAAACAAUCUAUUGAAUAUUUCUGUAGUUUUACCUAAUACUGCAUAAUUUCUGUGAGUAAACUGGUAAAAGAGUAGUGUCUGUGUAUGGAUGCUGCACAAGAGUUUCUGUCUCCAGCAUUCUCAUCUGUUACUCAUUUUCAUUUCAGAGCUGUACACUUCACUGCUCAUAGGUGAGCCAACUUUUCUGCAUCUGUGGCAGACUGGAAAACCUUCUACUCCUUUUAAGUUAAUUUUUCCUCUCCUUUUCAAUUAUGAAUUGGAAUUAAAAUUGCUUUCUUUCCUAUCUGUAUUUUCAUUCCUCUGAUACAGAUACUGGAUACAAUUAUUUUGUUAUUACAUCAAGGAAGCUGUAUGGGAUUUUUGGGAUUUAGUGUUUUGGGUUGGUUUGGGGCUUUUUUUGGUCAGAUUUUUUGAAUGGAACACAAAGAAUUAAAAUAAAUUUUUACUAUAAUAACAAUAUUAAAAUUUCAAUUCAGUGACCAGAGAAUUUUCUUAAAAGAUGUGCUACUGUACCUGGGAUUUUAAAUAACUCUUUUGUUUUUAAUUCCUCUGUCUCCAUAUUUAUGUAAAACAAUGUACAGGGUUCUAUUGUCUCUCCUCACCAUGUCCAUAAACACUCUGUCCAUGAGAAAAUUAUUCUUGGCUUGCUUUUCAUCUCUUUUUCUUUAUCCCUCAGUAUCAAGCUUCAUACACAACAGAAUGGCAGAUAGAGUGCAUGGCAGACAGCUAAUGGCUCAUAAUGACAGACUCAUAAACAAGCUAAUGCAUGGUAGGGAAGGUUAUUUUUUCUUUCAUGCCCUACCAGAGGCAUGCCCUUCCUUGUCCUCUUUGUUUUAUUGGGGUUAUGUGCAGACAGUACAGGAAAGGUGCUUUCACAGCUACUUAGUUUUUGAAACAUGCCCUUUACUUUGAAACAAGCAUGAUACCUAGUAUAUUUGAUCCAGAAAACAAAACCAUGCUUUUGAGGUGUGAAGUCUCCCCUCCAUCUGGAGGUUUGGUUGGUAGUAGAAUAAAGCAGCAGGAGAAAUGGAUCUCAGCCCUGCACAGGCAGAGCAGUGACAACCACAGGCUCCAUUUGAGUCUCUUCCGGAAGGAGGAGCAGAGCUGCCAGAACACCUCACAGCUGUUGCACAAAUGUACAUUAUAGAAUGAACUGGGAUAACAGCUCCCAGUAAUUCAUGGAUCACAGAUGCUCUGAACCAGCACUGUUCUGCAUAGUUGAUGGAAGAACUUUUGAGUAUGUUUGUUUUCCCUUAUUGACUGCAUUAUUGUUAAUCAUGCAGCACUAAUACUUUGUGGCUGAGCAGCAGGAAACCUGCCGGUUUGCUUUAUUCUGCCUGCUGCAACCUGAAUCCUCAGGAGGAGGAAAUAUUGCACCUCCCUAGGGUGAGAUCUCUUUGGUAAAAUAUGAACCAGCAAUUGAAAGCAGCACCAGAGGAAAAAUUAUGGCCAAGCCAGGUAGAAUCAUUAUCAAAAGAGAUUUUUUUUAAUCUCUCUUCUAAGCAGAAAUGAUUGUCUGUCUUUAAAAACUUACGUUAUUCUUUUGUAUUUGUCUGCUAGUAAAACAUAAAUUUAGAUAUUGAGAACACAGUUGUGGUAGUUUUAGUGUGUUCACUUUAAUGAAAAGCUGUGGGUAUAUCCACCUCAAAGCCUUGGUUCAUUCAAGGUCCUCUCAAAGAAAGUUGUUGGGGCACAAGCAGGGAAGCAUUUAAUCAGUGACAGAGGGACUUGCUUUUUUUCUGAUAGAAAAGUGUUAGACACUGCUAAUUGGAUCAUCAGGCUUUCUUGGCAUGUAGUUUCUUUCAGGAGAGCUAAUAUCAGUAGCUGUCAUUCAGAUUAACAGAUGGAAAUUUAAAGAUGACUUCUGCAAAUAAAACCCUCACUAAAUUAAUAAUGCUGAGACUUAACAUCAAGUAACAUAAAUUAAUGAGAUUUGAGGCGAAAUCAUUCAUGAUCAAAAAAACCAUGACACAAUAAAGAUACUUAAGUGGCACAAAGGAUUAAUAUAAAUGUGCCCAAACACCUUUUUAUUCCUUUGAACAGGAGCUAUUAUACAAUACACAGUCAGGUUUCCAAUGCUUUAUAUGUAGUAUACAAGGGAGAGCCAGAUGCUUUAUCAUGUUCUUUUGCUGAGAGCCAAAGCUUUACCAAAUUAAACAUUUGAUGCCAUGAAAAUAACCCUUGAGCUACUUUUUUUUCCCUCACAAUGAUGCAGUUGAUCUGGCUUAAUUACUGUCAGUUCUGUCUUCCUUCCUUGAAAGGAAGCUGAAAAGUUGAAAAGUUGAAAAUUUGCUAAGCUAGUGUACAAACUCCCACAAUUUUGAGGAAUAAGGGAAAUUGAAUCAGGGCUACAGACAGGGGGAAAGAAAGAAUGUGGUUUCUGACUAAGCAUGCAAGGAAGUCAGGUUCAUUGGAGAUGAAUGGGAAGACAGUAGAGGAAGAGGAAGGAGCUAUAUGGGGGAUAGAGCAUUGUAAUAGUAAUGGGAGAGGAAACAGUUAAUGUAAACUGCUGUUCAGUAGAGGUGGAAUGUGUGGGCAGAAAUGGAAAAUAGGAAAAACAGUAAAAAAUGAGACAAAUAUCCCAAAAUCUACACCUAAAAUUUCGAUUCAGAUGUAUAGCGUGAGAAAAAAUGCAGAUUGAGUAAACAGCCACUGAAGCAAAAGUACAAAAACAUUUGGAGGCCAAAAGACAGGAGGGAGCAAGCCACAAUGUGAUGUCAUUAGGCAUGUGAUGGUCAUUUUUAAACACAUGAAGCAAGAAGAAGAAGAAGGACACAGACAUAGGAAAGAUAUUCUGAGCAGUGAUGGGAGGGAGGAGGUAAUAUGAUGUAUGUGGAUGAUGCACAAGAUGGCGAAAGUAAAGAGCAUCCCAAUUGCAACAGAUAUCACCAGAAGAUGUCAGACAUGUAAAUGGAAGUGGAAAUGUGUUUGCAUGGCAUGGGAAGAAAAAGGAUAGAUCCAAGAACUGAAGAAAGCAAAGCUGGAAACAGUCCAAUGUAGAAGAGGAAAGAGUUGAGUGAGGCAUUAAGAAGGUAGGAAGUAUAAGGAUAUAAUACAAAAAAAAGUUGUGGGGAGUGGCAAGUGGUAUAGGACAGAAAACCAAAGGAAAUAUCUGAAAAGCACAGUGAAAAUACAUCUGCACCACUUCACCACACAAGCUUGCACUAUGUCAUCCUGACAUAGAUGGGGAAAAGAUGUUAAUUUGAAAACACUUGCAGGAAGCUGCACUCUCAGUUACCACUGUGAAUCCAUGUGACCUGGGAGAAAAACCCACUAUCGUUUUGAUCAAUAUUCUUCCUCCCAGAGGACAUUUUAUGGUUGAUUGACCUGAUAUGCCUUUAAAAAGCCAAUAUAGAAGUCAACAAAUACAGUGUCAGAAGAUAGAGAUUUUUUUCUUAGUGUCACUUUGUGCUUGUAAAAGAAUAAGAGACAUUAAGCCUCUGUCUAUUUGUUCUUCUGUAAAGACAAAAAUAAUGUGCUUGAACAGGACAUAUUAGAGCACCACACAUUUGAACUCCUAUCUGUAUUUUGAAGUAAGCAUUUACAAUCCUCAGACUUCCACCUUUCCUAUCUCUGCCACUUUCUGCUCCUUCAUACUAGAAUUUUAAGAAUGUACAUUGGCAUUUGGAAAAAUGCAACUUUCCUGUCGCUCUUUAAUUUAGACAAAACAGACAGGGUCAGGCAUUAAAUUCCAGCAUUUAUUUCAGAGUAUUCUUUCCUAUAAAAGAGUCUACAUUUGCAUGAAUACAAUAUAAAUGAAACCCCCAAGAAACCAGAAAUAUGUCCUUGAAAUUGGUAGUAGUAUUAUCUCGCAGGGUUUACUUGACUAGUUCCAGUGUCUGGGUAUGUAUGGGUAUACUUAAUAAAAAGCCCAUAUAGCAUAGCCUCUAUGUUUAGGAUUUCUUUAAGUCAGAAAAAUUUGCAUCAAAUAGAAUAUUUGUGCUUAAAUAUAAAAUAUUGACCCUUCAUCAUCACCUUAUUUUAAAAAGUCAUUUUGCACAGUGGCUCAGGUGAAGCACAAAGUAACAUCAAGGCAUAAACAGCACAUGUUCAGCAUGUAGACAGAUCAGAGCCACUCACAUUACCCUACUGAAAUCUUGGGAAAAAAAUCAUUUGCAUUAUUAAGCUAAACACACAAUAUCAAAUAAAUACAGAAGAAAAAUUUAGACAUGCUCCGUAACUUAAAUCCUGCAUGCUUUUGCACUGAAAAUCUUAUUAUUAUCUAUUAAGAAACAAUCCCAUAGUUUUCCAUUUAGAAUGCAUAAAGCUACUUUAGAAAACUGGUUGCUUAUAGAGAAUUUGAGGCUGCUGAGGCAGCAGGGGCUGGUGCACACAGGGGCAGUUCUGUGGGGGAUCAGCCAGGUCUGUCAGUACCUGUGGUAGCAGCACUGUGGAGUGAGGCAGGGAGCCUGUCCUGCCUAUUCUUUUGGUGUAUAUGUCUGUACAACCAGUAAACAGAGACAAGAGGAGCCUGCUUUCUCCCAUAGGAUAGUAGGAAUUCAAAAACAUACAGGACAAAAGACUCUAAGGAACAACAAGUUCAUGCAUUGUAGUUCUGUUUUCCUUGUGAACACGCAGCAUAUGCUGACAUUCUCUACCUCUCUGUAUGGGUGAAUGACCCAUCCAGAGACAGUUUCAGAUAUGGAAGUAUCUGGGUUUCCUUAGUUCGAUCUAAUAAUCCAUUAGCAAGUCCUAAAGCAAAUAAUUUGUGAGCUUGAGCACAGUCACUUCAUAAGUACUAUUAAUGCCAUUUUCACUAAGUUAUACAACCAAAGAUGAAAAAAGCCGCACACGCACACAAAAGAAUAAACAGGAACCGCUCCGUGGAUGUAGAUUAUCUCCUCAGAAACAAAUGAAGCCUUUCAAUUGAAUCUCAGGAAUUGAAGCUUGAUACUCCUAUAUCAUUUGGGGCCAAACAUUGUUUAGUUGAAGGAUAAAAGAGCUCAUCAGAAGUUUUCCACUUGUUUUAAUUCUGGAUUGGGUCCAAGAAAUGAAUUUUGUUGUCCUGUGCUAUUCAUGUGCAGCUGUUCACAAAUGUUAAAUUCAGUUUAAAAAGCUAUGCGUAAACAAGGUUAUUAUGGAAUCCAGCUCAAAGCCAAGACUCAUCCAAUUUCUUUGUCUGUUUUUCUCUCCAUAACUGUCAACUGGUCAUGGUGUCUUAGCUGUCAUUCUUUUACUCUUUCACAUCUUAAUGACUCUAUUUUUGUAGCAGGACUCAGGCAAAACAGGUGCAGUCAAUUUUAGAAAAUGAGAUUUCAGCAUUUGUUUUCAUUCUACACUAGAGCAAAAGACUUUUGGACCUUUUGAAAUUUUUCAUGGGAAAGGAGAUCAAGUCUAUCUUAGGAUGGCUUCUAACUUGGUAGCUGGGGAAACACUUAUUUUGCCGUCUUACUUUUUCUUUUUGUUGGUAAAACACGCAUUAAAUGGUCAUUUUCAGUAGAUUCCGUAGGUUUUGGUUUUGAUUAGAAGUUCAAGUGUUCUUGAUCAUCUUUGACAUCAGAAGCCUGAUGUCAAGAUGAAAGAAUCUAUCAAUAAAACUUAAGUUUUUCAAGAAAAAAAAAGUAUUUUCCUACAGGGUGCAAUCUAAAUGCAAAGAAGGCUUUGCUAAAAAUAAAAUCAAAGACUUAUUACAUUAGGUAGCUUUUAUUUUCAUUUUUGAAGUCCAAGAUCUGACCAGUAAAACUCUUAAUAAUUUUAAUAAUUCUCCAUACUUCAAGAAAACGAGACUUUCAAAGAAAAUGAAAAGUUACUUUAUGUUCCUCAUUUGCUCUUCUAAUAAAAUCUAAAGUUGAAAAGCAAGAUAUUUCAGUUUCAAAAUACUUGCUGAAUUUUGGAUGAAUUUUCUACUCAUGCAACCCGAAUGAGACCAUUUUUGUUGUCUUAUUGCUUUGCUUUUGGAAGCCUCCUUCUCUACAAUUUAGUUUCACUUUUCUGUAAUUCAGCCCUACAACUCUUGCCCACAGGUUUCCUUGUUCUUAAUUAUAUCUCCAUCACUUUUAAACUGUUUUCCCUUAAGGAUAAAAUUUUAGGUUCUAAAUAUUUCCUCUUUAUAUAUUAACUUUUUAGAUAACUCCGAUCUUUCAACAGCUUUCAUCUCUAACUCUGUUCCUUCUCUUCCUGCUUGCCUAUUUUAUCAUUAUCUUUUCACUGUGAAGAGCUUUUACCCUGGAUGGUAUUCCAGGGGUGCCUUAGCAGUGCUAGAAGUCUUCAAACACAUUUAAUCUCACAGUCAGUACUAUUCUUUAAAUUAUUCUUCUUGAUAUUAUUUUAUGCUAAACCCCCAAGGAUCAAAUCCUUAGCUGUUUCAAAGUGCAUACUGAAAUGAUCGUAGCUUUAUGAAUUACACUAACCACAGUACCAUCUCUGGUACACUGCGACACUGAUAUCUGUGACACUGAUAUUUUCCUGAAAAGUUAAAAGUCCAGUAUUCAUAACUAAUAAAAACCCUCUGAAUCUAAGCAUAUAAGCUUAGUCAAAGGAUAAUGAUAUCAUCAAUAAUUUUUGUCUUCUGAGACGCUGACCAUUAGCUAACAGAAAGUGUGUAUGUAGAUGAUCUUGGGCUUUCACAUGACUGUUCACCGAAAUUUUAUAUCUGUGAAGUUUCCUGAGUAAAGGGAACAGAUGGGGCAUGUUGAGAUGCUGGUUGGUAACUCUGCUGUAUGAAGUUAACUGAAGAAGCUGCUAAUCAUCACAAUUUCCAGAAUCAAGAUAGAUAGAAUUACAACUCAAAGGCAUAUUCUGUUCAGCAGGAAAAUGACCAAAGAAUAAAGAUUUUUUGCAGCUUUUGUGCUAGAAACAGUCUACAAAGUGACUGAAUUUCCAGAAAUUUAAAGCUGCUCCAGAAUAAGUUAUAUUCUGUGCUGAGUCUUUCACUCCCUACAUAUUGUGACCUUACAAAGGGUAGAAGCUAAAAGGAAUACAAUUCGAGAGCACCCAUUUUUAUCAUCACAGUUGCAGCAUUAUCAACAAGACAUAUUGUGGGUGAUAUAGGCAAGAAAUUAAUACCAUUUUUACAGAAUGAAUGCUCACACUCCUGCACUCAGUCUCUCUCUGACUCUCUCUUAUGCCUGAUGAUAAAAAUUUCUUUAAUAUAUCACCUAUUAAGCUUCAUGACUAUUCAGAAAUUGUUAGAAAAAAUGUCAACACUUUCUUUUGGUACUCUAAAAUUUAAAGAAAGGGAAAAUGGAAAGGAAGAUGCUUCACAUUUUCUUUGAAUUGUUGACAUAAUGUAACGUUCAAUCACUGCAGCCAAAUGCAUUAUUCUGAGAAAAAUUUUAAUAUUAGAAGCUUAUAUAUUCCAAAAGCUGUAAUUCAAUGUAAGAAUAAGAGAAACCUGAGCUCAGUCCCUGUGGAAUUAUUAUCAUCAAUAUUGUUUUCUUCUCUAAAGUUUUUUUUUAUCUAAAACUUUUACCUAUCAAAGAAUCAAAAACUUCAAAUUGGAAGUUUGGUUAUUCUUAGUGUUUGCUUAUCCAUGAUGGGACCUAAAGUCACUUUUCAAACAAAAUUCACAAUAACACUCUCAGACCACUAGAAGUAGUUCUGUAUCUUUAGAACUCAUUAUUCUUGUCCUCACAGGAAAUGGAAUGUGAUGGCAAAAUUUCCAGUUGUAGGUGCACAGCCAGUGCAACUACCACACCACUAUUCUAUGAAACUUCAGUCUCAGGAUGCUACAAGACUUUGAAACUUUUAGAACCUCUGGAUUUUCUUAGCCGUAGUGGAGUGUGUUCCCUUUUAUUUUACAUGCAUUCUUUUGAGGUGUUCCUGGGUCAUUAUGCAUCCUGGGGAAAAGAAAGAAAAUCAGAGGAAAAAAAAGCUACUCCUCAGAUGAAGGUGAAAUGCAUGAUCCAUAGCAUUGUGGAUCUGUAGCAUGUAAAUGAAGGUACACAAAGAAAUGAGAUGGUAUAUAAAAACUUGCAGAAUAGGAGUUAUUUUUGAACUCUUGUAAUACUUUACACUUAAAGAAAUUACGGUGUUUAGAGACAUCCAUACAGAAUCACAGAAUAUUCUCUGUUGGAAGGGACCCACUAGGUCCCUUCUCCUAGUCCAUCUCAAGUGAAUGGUUCAUACAGAGAUCAAAUGCACAACCUUGGCACUAUCAGCACCAUGCUCUAACUAACUGAGUAAAUAUAUUAUCUGAGAAAUUAUUGGACCUGGGUAGUACACAAGUAAAAUCAAACAUUCAUUUUAGAAACAAGUAUCUGAUCAUCUUUUAAAUCCUUCAGGUAUUCUUGGUCCCACGACUCUUUCCCCAGGGGAUACGCAACAUACCAAUACUUGAUUUUGCAAAAUAAAUGAUUAGGAGAUUCUAAUCAAAACCAAGCUGAACUAUACCUAUUUAAAAUUCAUUUCUACUUUUAGACCUGACUUUCACAUUCAUCAAGUCAGUGAAAAGUGACUAUGUUAAGUAGGUAUGAAUCAUGCUCCACAUUUAGCUAUCCAUCUCUUAAACUGGGGCCAGAGCCAAGAUACUCUCUCUAGUUUGCAUGGGAUGUCUAACUUUUAGACAAGCUAAAAUUAAGUGAAAUGAAUCAAAUCCAUAAGUUACUCGAGGCUUUAAACGAAAUCUGAAAUUGAACUCUGUCCCACAGGCAUAAAAAUGUUUCUUAAACAUAAGACCAUAUUUCUUCCUAACAUUAUAUGUAAGAAUACUGUUAUCUCUGGCACUACUUGAAGUUUAAAAGCCUAGCCUGAAGUUAACAUCUUACCAUAUGUGUUUCAUAGAAUUUUGCAGUUUUGUUUGGUUUGGGAUUUUUUUAAAGACAGAAAAAAGGAAGGCCAAACAUAAAAAGAUGGAGCUGUACUCCCCAGGAUCUGAAGCUUUUCUAGCUUUAUCAGCUCCUGCAGGGGAAGGAUCCUCAUGAGGGGUCUAUUCUUUCAAGUUCCUAACAAAGUGUGAUGGUAAUCAUCCCUAAGCCUUUAUAGAAUAGAGAAAUUCAUGUGUCUUUUUGCACUACUAAGCUGAGAAAGACCACACACUGUAUACUAUAACCUUUCCUGUGAUUGCCUCAAAUAUGUUUUGUCUUAUUUAACGAUACUCUUCAUUAUGGUUUUUCUAUACCAAUGGGAAAAAAAUUAUAAAAAAACUUAUCUUAUGCCAGUUUCCUUCCUUGGAAUGUACUUGAGAUAAAUCAUACACAUGCAAAUACUUUCUUUUCUUGAAUCCAAGGAAUUCUAAAUUUCCAGAGGAGAGAAACCUCCUUCACACAUUUAACAAAUAGAACAACGACAUGUAUUCUAGAUAAUUAAACAGAAACUUCUGUUAAUUUUGAUGUUAUCUUUCUAUGUAAAAUUGAAAAAUGGGAAAUCUCUGUUGUUUUUAUGACAAUUUAAGAAAUUUUUGCUCCUACCUAUGUUACAUGUUUUUCUGUCCACUUCUACAUAAAAAUAUGGAGAAAUAUUUUUCAUUAUCUUUCUGCAAGAAAUUUCUUGCACGUUCUAUAUACUUAAAAUCAAGCAGUUUUUUUUCAAUUAAUUUUCCAUUUUUUAGCUUAAAUUAAAUUAAUCUUCAAAAGCAAAUAAAUCAUUUUUGUUAGAUGAUGAAACUUUGAAUGUGUUACAACUGCUAAAUUAAUUUCAAGCAGAAAGAGAUACACUGUUUUGGUUAUAGUUUGCAGUCUUGCCCCAAUUAAGAAUUGCCACAAUUAACAAUUACCAAAUCUUUCCUGAAGAAAGUUAAGUGUCUUUAUUUGUAUCUUAAAUUCAAAGAGGCAAGUCCAAAGAUGAGCAGUAAUUCUUGCACAGUUAAGAAAAAUACUAAAAUAUUACAGAGCUUUACCAUUCUUUUAAUCACUGGACUAUCCUAAAAAAGAAAUCAUAAUAAAAAGGAAAUUAUUAUAAGCAGUAAUAUUAAUUCUUCCUCUGAACAUAAUUUUAAAAAUUGGAAAAGAAGUCAGUUCCAGAAUGUAGGGGCAAUAAAGGCAUUAUGGAAAGGACAUUGUAACACAAGUUUUGACUCCCCUGGUGACAGUGGUUCUGUGCAGACACAGAUGAGUGUCCAUCUGACUGUUCCCCUGAGCUCAGAUGGACCAGAAAUUAUUCGAUUUGCAACCAAUGAGCAAUUCUUCCUGUGAUAGCUGAAAUUUUAUGAGAAAAAUAUGCUUUCAGCAUCUUCAGUUCUAACCCAAAGAGAUUGUAAUGAAUCUUUAUACUUUGCAGAAGAGAAAAGUGGGGAAGUGAUAGAGGUUCUUGGAAUUCAGAUAUUGUUUAACCUCAGAUAUCUGGUGCUAAUUUUCACUUAGCAUUUGUACACUCAUUUUGAAUUUCAUUUGCCAUGGAAGUAAAAAAGGGAAUUCUAGAAUAUAAGAUCUGCCCAAAAGGUCUCUAUAGAUGCUUCAGACUCUGCUUAGACUUCAGCUUUCUAAUGAAUAAGCUUACCUGUAACUCGACAGUUCAGUAAAAUUUAUUGCAAAAAUCCAAGUCUUUAUUGAAAGCUCUCAUGUGAUCACCCCAGUGUAUUUGAGAUCUAAUUGGAUAAAUCCCUUUGGAACCAAAUCUGUUAACAUUACUUAUUGGUUUGAUUGCUGUCAUCACCAAACACUGGUGAUGGAUCCCCCACAGGUAAGGUAAACAAAAAACAAUUGUGUUUGCAUUUUAAAAGUAAUUAAAUAUUAGGGCAUGCUAAGGGAAUAAAACAGGCUUUCUUUUUUUCAUGAAAAACCUUUGAACUUUAAAAUAACCCAUUUUGCUUGAAUAAUAUUUUUUUUACUCAUUGAUUCAUGGAAUUUUCUUUACAUUUUAAAAGCCAUUCCACCACUGCAGGAUGCUUAGUGCGUGAUCAGCAGUGGAUGUAUUUGUCUCAAAUGAGUCAUCUGCCUUCUUCUGCUGAGAUCAGCAGCAGGCUGCUCCGCCUUGAUUUGCUCUGUACUAAAACAUACUCUUUGCCUUCAUUCCUCAGUAAGAAAAGGUGCAUGACAACCAGACCUAAAAAGUCAUGUCAUCCUGUGGACUGGCAAUCAGUUAUAGGGAGGUUUUGUUCUUCUGCUCUGAUAGCUGUAUAUAUAGAUGGUUUUCAUUUAAUAUAGAUAUAGUAAAAAUACUGCUAGAAUUCACUGAAUCUUUCUCAUUUUUAAUUCUCAGAUAACACCUGAAUGACUAAAAAAACUUCAUAAUCUUUUAGUUCCAGGGGAAACCAAACCUCUGACUUACAUUCAAAGCAUUCAUUAGGAGACAACCAUUAAAUCUGCUGUACAGAGAAUGACUUUUCUCUGUCUUCUUUGUAAGGAUCCCGGUCAUGAUCUUUUAUUUCCUCAUUAAAAUGAUACCAUCUUCUUUCCUAUAUGUGACCUGCUUCAGUCUUGCAAAUGUUGCUAGUAUUGAUCUAUACCUGACUUGAAGAUAAUAAGGUUUUGCAACAAAACCUGUGGGAUUCUGAAAGCUGCCUGCAAAGUCUGAUCUUCCGCUGAAGUUAAGUGGGUUCUGCCUGUGCUUCUGUUUUUCCCAAGUGCUUUUGUCAAUUUCUGCUUUAAGAUAUAUUAAGUACUUUUAAGCAGUGCCUUUAGUUUAUUGGUACUCUAGUCCUAAUUAUAUGACCAAGCUAUAUACCUUUGCUUUUAAAACACAUUUAUUGACAUCCUGUCAGGCAGUACAUUGAUAUUUAUACUUAAAUUGUUUGGUUUAAUGUAUGACUUGGCCUUGACUCCUGUUAUCUAGAAGAAUUAUUGAUUCUUUCUGAACCCAGUUGGAUCUGCAAUCUUCAGAUACAAGCUUGUUAACCAACCCAUAUCUAAGAUCAACAACUUUGACAGAGUUUGCCUUAGGGGAAAAAGGAGGGUGUUACAAACCCCAUGUGUUGAAUAUUGUGCCUUUGUGGCUUGCAGAAGCCUUGGUGGUAGAACUAUCUGUUUCUGAAUUGCUAAAAAAAUAGUUCACUUCACUGAUUUACACUGAGCUAUAUUUAAACAAAAGCCAACGAAGAAAAUCUCUACAUUACUUUGGAUUAUUGCAGCAUGUUUCUUUGUACUGUUAGUGCAUUACUAGCUGAGGAACAUACCUAUAAUCAAAUACCAGAUCAAGUAGUUCAGUACUUCUGUCUUUUAUUACAGAUUUUGCACUACAGUCACUUUGAGUUUCCCCAGUAGGACCUGACCCUGGGAUUAGCUCAUUUGCUUAGAGCAUGGUGGUCAAAGGUCCAAUCCCCUUAUGGGCCAUUAACUUUAGAGAUGGACCAGAUGAUCCCUCUGGGUCCCUUCUAGCUCAGGCUAUUCUGUGAGUGGAAAAUCUGUAUGUCCUUUGCUAAGACUGUCUGAUUGAGGACUUUUUCUGUGCAAAUGCAGAUAAUAAAGGGCAUAAGAAACAAAAAAACAUAGACAUGUAGACUUAACACAUAAAUGUAAGACCAGGACAAAAUCAAAACCUCAUUAGUCACACUACAUUACUGAUGGGCUAUCAAGAGCCCACAGACAAAGUGAGGACUUCUGACCAGGAAAGUCAUGGAUGGUGGAGGUUGGAGGGUGGUUUUCAGUGUGACUAUGAAAAAUCAUGAAGGACUGAAACUCAUGAAGGGUCCUACACCUGGACAAUGGCAAUCCUGGACACAGCUAGAGGCUGGAUGCAGAACAAGAGCAGCCCUGCAGGAGAAGGACUUGGGAGUGACUGCUGAUGUAAAGCUCAACACAAGCCAGCAAUGAACAAGGAGGAACAUGAGAAAAAAGGAACAAGGGUGGACUAUUUAACUGACUAGCCUGAGAACACCAGACCAAUAUGUAAGCUAUACUUCUUUUACCUUCCUGUUCUAGAAAAAUGUAGGUAGUUGCCAAUAGAGGACAAGAUGAAAAAUGUAUGCUGGGGCAUCUGUAUUCAAAUAUCAAUUUGGAUGAAAUUAAUUUUACUUGGGAAUUCAAAUUUGGCAUUUUAAAGCAUUUUUAUCUUUAUGCAUUUUUAAAGGUUAAAUACUAAGGCUGGGGACUGGGACAAGUUGUGUAAAAUACCCAGAGAAAUUUCUAGGAAUAGUUAUUAGAGACAAACAAUGUAUGCUAUAAAUGCAGUUCUGACCAUAUAUUACUGGGAAGGAAUUCUUUGGGUACUUGCGAAAAGUCAGAUUUAUCUCUUUAUGAAUUGCAAGACCCAUGGAAAGAGGUUAGUUAUUUCUGAAAUACCUUUGGAAUUCCAGACAAAGAGGGCAUUAUCUUAGAAAUAUCAUAGCAUUAUGUUAUGAUGAGGUAAAAUAUUUAAGAGAAGAAGGAAUUAGGCUCAUAUAGCUAAGUUUAGAAUAAAAUUCCAGUUUUCCUUUCUGGCAAGAAAAUAUCAAGAAAAUGACUGUUGCAUUACUUACAGAGUCCUGUAAUACUCCAAUAUCUUCUCUCUCAGUUCUCCAAAUAGUUCUUGUUGCAAGUAAACGUUCCAAAAGAGUUGCGUACACCUUUAUUCAUAAUUUAUCUUUGUAUUAGGGGAUAAUUUUAUUUAGAAAAUAGAGUGACUGGGCUUAAGGAACCAGAGCAAAAUGGCAGUAUAACCUACAAAAUAUAAGCACAAAUUCACUAUGUGAGCCAAGAAGGAUGUAGCCUUCCCCCUAUUUAUAUUCUGCCCAAAAUGAUCCAUGGCAAGAUUGCAGUCACAUAGUAAAAAAAAGGAGUCUGUGAUAGAAUAAAAUUACACUAAUGUUCACAUCAAGGUUUUCAUCAGGGAAAGCUAUGCUUAGUGGAAGGUUUUCUCAUAUGGAUUGGAUUUUGGCUAUUGGGUUGUGCAAGGACCUUGUUUUCUUAUUAGCUAUGUAUGUAGAAGGAGAAACCUCAUAGAAUGAGCUAACUCAAAACCAGCUAUGUCUGUCAUUGGGUCUACUAACAAUGCUGUUGAUGUUGGGUCUGUCAUAACAAAAUUUUUUCUUCCUUUCUUUAAAUCUUGAUGAUGGCAGAAUGGACACUGGAAGACUAGCAUCAUGAUUUGGAAAAGAAGAAUAUGAAAAAAAAUUCUGCUUCUACAUUUCCAAGAAGUCGUGGGAUCUUCCUCCAAUGCAUUGCACAAGAAAGUUUGUGAACUGCCAAGUAUCCUCAUGAUUUGCUCACCUUUACACUUAUUGGAAAAUUUGGACCUGUGCCAGCCGGUGUGCAGUGGUGUGUAGGAAGCCUCCCAGGAACUGGUCUCUCAAGUCCUACAGAACAAGCAGAUAGCUCUGAAUCAUUCAGGACCAGGCUCUUGGCAGCAACUGUGGCUCACAGGGGACCCACACUGGAGCAGUCUGUUCCCGAAGAAUGACCCAUGCUGGAGCAGGGGACCGGCAUGACCUGCAACAGGGUUACCACACUUCGGGAAAUUCACUCUUUAUUUCCCAGAACCAAUGGAAAGAUCCAUGUUUAGGCCAUCUGAAACUCCGUCCAAUAUCUGGAAGUAGAUGCUGCCAAGAGCUGGGGAAUAAGAUGAAUUUGGCCCUGUCUGAUCUACUGAGAACCUUGGAUGUUAACGACAGUACUGGCUUAAAAAAUGUCUGUUUAUUUAUUUUCUGAUAUAUUCUUCUUGCUUCUUUUCACUGAUGACCAUUAGUGGAUGUAAAUGUAAGGCCUGUCUCUUUUUCUCUCACUCAUUUAAUAUUACAUUAUUUGUAAUCUCUAGAACAAUCAGUGAAAGUAGACAUAUCUAUUAAUUUCUUUAUUCCAUUUGCUCAGACUACGCGAUUUCUGCUCUGUCAGCACUCUCUCUCAUUCAAUACAUACCAGUCAGUGCAUGGCAUCACCUUCCUUAAAAACUGGAAAGACUACAAAUAAAAGAAAAAAAAAUGUUUUUACUAUGGGAUGGUAAUUCAGAAAUGUUCUCAUCAGUAACAGACAUAGUCUCUUAGAGUCAUUGUUAUAUAUAUUUUCCCUUACUUUGCAACAAAAGUUUAUCAAAAGCCAGUAAGUAGCAUUUCUUGGUGACAAUAGCAUUUUAUGUUCUGAUGCCCUCUUCUAAAGACAAAUAUUUAUCUAAGGCAGAUUAAAGGCCAGAUAAACAAGCAGAGUUUAUGGGCUGCUAGUUCUUUUGCAAUAUCCAGGAAAAAAAGUCCUGAACUGCACUAAGAAGGGAACAGCGAGAGAAAAUACAGGUGUAACAAAUGGCAAAGGAGUAGAUGUAAAAGAGUAAAUGCAGCUGGCCAAGCCUUACUAAACUAAGAUGACAACAAGAUGAGAAAUGGCAGAAAUGAAAAACGAUGUAUAAAAAGAGGCAUUACCUUACAGAACUGCUGACCAAGGUGUAAUUUUUCAGGUCAACCGCAUCAUGAAUAACAAGAAGGUGUAAAAAGUCAGCAGAACUGAGAUCCCUGGGGAAAGAGUAAAUAGGAAUAGCUGAUGGUAAAGAUGAAGAAACUGGACUGUGAAAAGAGCUGUAGGAAAAGGUAGUAAAUCAUGUCAUUGGGGAGUGAUCAGGAACAUGUCACACAGCCAGUGCUUCAUCACAAUUUAGAGCAGGACACUGGAACCUCUUUCCACUGUAAUCAUGUACAACUUACCUCCAAGACCAUGUGGGACAUGAGUCAACUCUCCCUAUCAUCACUGAGGGAACAUCAGGACAUUAUUCCUAAUAUCAACCAGUAGAUGCCUGGAGAGUACAACUUAUCAAGGCCUUUUACUCUCUUUAGCAUCUGAACCGAGUGUCACAUUACAAUGCUUUUUUACAGCUUAUUAAAUAUUUAUAGAGUAUAUAUUAUAUAAAUACAAAUAUAUAAAUAUUUAAGAUAUAAAUAGCUUAAACAACAGAGAUGAAGAAUCCCACCCUUUCUACCAUUUUUGGGCUGCUUUUACUUUGGGGAUGGUGUUCAUCCCUAAUGCAAGAGUAGGAAUUGAAACCUUUUAAUGAGCAUAAGAUCUUGUUGGCUAUAGGGGUUUUCUUUCAAAGGUCUCAGUAUUUUGUGAUGAAAAUGGCAGGGAUCAAUGACCUGGGUUCCACUUAAAGCCUUCCCAAAAAUUUCUAAACUAUGACAGAGACAUUUUGAAUAUGUUGUACUGUCUUGCUCUCUAAUGGAAAUUAUUAACAUUUGGUUUUAAGUAAGCAAUAGGUGAGGACUGAACCCACUCUUUUUGCUCUUGCUGAUGUAACCAUAUGUUUCAGUGUAGCUGGAGAGAAAAUACUAAAGGAAAAUUAAAGCAAACUACAUUUUAAAAUGGUGCAAUUAUGUAGGAUAAAGAAUUUAGGUAGUUCAAUAAAACAGUUUAACUUGGAAUAUGUAUGGGUAAUAGUUGAAUUUUAUUUUUUUAACCUGUCGCUUUAAAAUAUACAUGCUCACACUCUGACAUAUUGUAGCAUCUAUAAGAGCUGGGCAUAUUUUAGAUUAACAGUAUGCAUCUUUAAUUAUGCUCUCUGUAGUUAAUAGUUUUGAGAACUCUGCAGUAUUAAAGAUCUUUAGCCUUUCAAAAAGGUUUUCCCAAGCUUCUCUGACUCGUAGCCAACACCAGUGUCAUAUCAGUCCCCAGGGGAUUCACAGAUGCAUAUACCCUAAAUUUUUUCCCAGAGAGAUUAAAAAAAUUACUGUUUAGUACUUACAAUCAAGCUUUGUUCUCCAUGUGAAAUCUUCAGCUCUGUACUGCUGUUUGUGACUGUACAGCAGUUGAUAGCCAGCGGGACUAGGUUUUCAGAUUAAAUAGUCUUAGUAUAGUAUCAUAAAAUAUAUAUAAUAAAAUAUAAACAAUUAUAAAUAUAAUACAGAUAUAUGUUAUAUAAUUUAUAUCAUAUAUACAACAAUAGUAUCAUUAAAAUAAUUAAAUAAUGAUUAAAAGUUAUUAAAAGAAAUUGUAUCCAAAUGCAGAAAUUACUAUCCAAGUUGAGCUACAAAUAAACAUCUCUGUAUAACUAUCUGUUCAUAGUAUGAUAAUAUAGUUGAUAUGAUAAUAAUGUUUUAUUGCUGCAGAUCUCCAGUAUCAAGUGAUUUCAAAUGUAUGCGAUACAAAAAAGAGAUUAUUGCACAUCAGACAACUGACUCAUUUAUGGUUUCCUAAUAUGGUUUCUUCCUGAGGCACAAGAAGCUCAGAAGUUGCAUAAAACGCAUUGAUUCAAACCUGCUCUUCUCAACAUUUUUUUAUAUAUAACAUACAUUCAAGAAUAAGAUAUUUACUCACCAGGUACAUGCAUGGAGGAAUGGGCAAAUAUCACAUGUACCAGGUGCUGUACUGAGUUUGCUAAUUGUAGUUGAACUUAGGGAUCUCAGCCUUCAAAAAUGACCUUGGAAAACCAGAACAGUGUCAACUGCACCACUCAGCUUGGUGUCAUUUGCAAAUUUGCUUUAGGCUGUGUCAAAGAUGAAGGUAUUAAAUAACACUUGUCCCGUUAAAGACCCCUGAGGGACACCACUUGUCUAUGAUGUCCACUGGGGUCCCUAGCUAUUAACCACUACCCUUUGCAUGCAACCACCCAAAGAUGUCCCUGCCAUACCAGAGGGGUUGAAACUAGAUGAUAUUUGAGAGUCCCUUUCACAUUCUAUGAGUAAAUAAAAUAGAAAAUAUAGAAUUCAAAUAAAAGUUUGAAAGAAAAUGAAAGCUGCCAUAAAACUGUCUUUUUAUUUCCACAGCCCCUCAUUGUCUUCCAUUUAUUUACAGUCUUCUAACAUAAAAUCAUUAAAGCUUUAGAUUGUCAAAAAGAAAAAGGCAAUUUUCUCUGCACUGAGAUUCAGUGUAAUCAUUGCAGAAAAGAUUACUAAUGCAGUUUUAUACCUGUUGAUAUGAAUUCAGAUUGAGAAAAUGGUUAUUUUCUUGUAUAGUCUUGUAUUGUUAGCAUGAAAAUUCUUAAAAUAAAUUAACUAUUACUUUUGAGUUUUACUUUUUUUAAUGUUUCAUUCACUAAGUGAAGUUGUCCAUAAGAAAUAAAGAAAAUAAACAAAGAAUUAACAAAACAAUAACACUGAGGUUAGAUUUUUUAGAUUAAGGAAAUGGGACAGAAAUUAAUACAACUAGAGGAGGAAAAACUAAGUUUUAUGCCUCAGAGUUUGCUAAAUAAUCUUUGAAAAUAUCUCACUGCAGUGCUUUAGACUGACAUGAAUCAGGUGGUGACUUGAUCUGUCUAACAUGAAAAUAUUUGGGUUUUUGGAAAAAUCUAUUCUCUUUGGUUUUCAUGGAGCAUCAGGAGCUAUGAAAUUAUGUUUUCCACUAACUUGCAGUGCAUUAAAAUUGCUACACAAUAAAAUUACUUUUUCCCAUGACUUGGUAAAGUUAAAUGAGGCAAGGGCAGAACUCUGUCAGACUUUUAUAUCACUGUCUUUAUAUUGUAGCAGCUGAAAGCUAAUAAUGAGUGUUAAAUAACCAAUAUCAUGUGUAGACUUGACAGCUGACAUGCUUUAGCAUCAAAUUUCUGGAUCUGUUUCUUCCACAGAAAUGCUUUCUGUUAAUGAAUCCCAGGACUAAGAACAGGCAACUGUCAGGCUGUCCAGAUUAUUCUAAGCACAAAAUUCACAAAAGAGAAAACAAACACUAUGAGAGGUUAGCUCUAUAUAUUAUAACUAAAUUCUUGCCAUUCAGGUAUACUUUUCAGAGUACCUUUUUAUAAGAUACAAUUUUUGCAUACAUCAGGUAAAUGUCAUGUGCAUAUUUGUGAAUGAAUAUGCAUAAAUAUAGAGUGCACUGCUCUGUCCUAAGAAGCACAUCUGAAAAGGCUGCAUAUCCCCAGUUAGGUGGUCUGGACAUACACAAGCCUUCAUAAGGAUUCUGACAUUGAAAUGCCUACCUAUUGUCAUCAACUGAAGAGCACAUGAGGAGCUCUGAACAUGAACUAUGUGCAAGUCUUGCGAUGGGAUGAACUCAAAACCGCUCAAUUAUUAAGCAGAGGUGAUUUAAAUAGCUGCUCUAUUGUGGUCUAGUCUGGUAAAUGGCUUUCUUUAAACCUUGAGCCUGAUGUGCUAAAUUUGCAGCAAGUGUUCUUGGGGACUCUGAAAAGCUAAAAAUAGUUAGACAUGGAAAUACGAUCAGGUUAAGCAGUACUAAUUUUUUUGGGAAUACCAUAAUUGACUAUUGACAGCUGUGUAGUGUAAUGAGCAAGAGAUCUUAAGAGAUCUUUGGAACUUAUGAGCAUGAAUCAAAUUAGAAAAAGACAGCACCAGAUGAAAAAUAGAACAGUUAUUUUCAGGUGAAGAUGAAAAACAUAAUGGAAAUUUCCAGGGGAAAAAAUCCAGUGAAUAUAGCUGGAGUAUGGACAGCUAGAUUGAGAUAAGGUUGUCCUGAAUAUACUGGCAGAAAAAAAAAAUGCAUAGACUAGAAAAUUCAAACAAAUAACAUUUUGAUUUAUUUUUGAAGAACUCUACCUUACCACAUUUUGGGGAAUACCUUGUAAAAAAAUCAAAUGCCAAUCAAUCAGAUAUCAAAAAUCACUGAAAAGGAAGCUUUAAAUGUGUUUGAAUAACAGAUAGGUUGCCUCAGGAACAUCCUAAGUUUACUCAGAAUUGCCAGUGUAAUCUAUUACAACAGCACAUCAAGCAGCACGGAAGGAAAUUUACCUGGCAAAGAAACAAAUUUUUAUUACAACAGACAUAUUUGUUAUGAAAAACAGCCAUCUCUACUGACAGUAUGAAGUUACACUCUCUCCUGAUCCUAGAAGAAAAUACCUGUUUGGUAUGAUGUUAUCACCAUUCUUUCUGAUAUUACUGUUUGUUUAUUAUUUAUCAUGGCACCUAUGGACCUUCCUCAUAAUCAGGGCUUGCAGAGAGCACAAUACAAGCACAAAACACCAAAAACUAAUGUUCCACAGAACUAGUAGGUUUUCUAGCUCAUCUAAGUGGAAAGAGAGAAGCUCUUAUCCUCUUUGCACAAUAAGACAGGACAUGAAAAAGGUGGCCCCACUUUUUUGCUGUGCCACAAUCUUCCAUCCAAAACUGCUGAGCAGUUUUUGAUUUCUAGUCAAACUCCAGUUCAUUCCACUUGCUGCAGUCCUGACUCAUGUCUUCCACACUAGUCAUGUCAUAAUCCUAUUGAUAUAAAACAUUAAUGAGCUGUAGCAAGCAUGGAUUGCUUUUUCAUUGAGCUUUUCUUUUCCCUGUAUCUAUUACAAACAUACUUACCAUCUUCACAUGGCAUGUCUAUUUUCUUUGUAAAAAAACCAUAUAUCCAGUAGCUAAAAUCUUCCAGUAUUUUUCAGGUACUUCUGGUAGUUGUUAUUCUCAUCCAGAAGCACAAUUCCUUGGAUGGUAGUUAAUCAACAAAGCACUUGGCCACACUGACUGUCUGCCACAUCUGGGACCUGCAGUUUCUAGGGGCAUCUUUUAAAGCCAGAAAUAACUGGGUUUUAGCAUUUGCCAUCUUUGACAGAGUAUUCACAAAGUGCUUGGCUAACUAAUCUGAUUUGUUGUAACAGAUCACUGCUUGUUAAUAAAGAGCACCUUGGGCACAAGUAUUUGUGCCCCCCCAAAGUCCAUACAGGCCUGUGCGAGCCUGAGUCAGGUGGUUUUGGUCUGCCCUAUAUCUCUUCCACCCUUUCUAGGAUAUCUCCUUCUGCCCUCCUUGACUUUCAUAAGUCUCCUUUCUACUCACAAUAUUCAUACAAUGAAAUUCACUAAGGAUAUUUUGCUGAAUUAAAAUUCACUUCUCAUUAAUGUGAAUAAAGCUUAAAUGAAUCAUUUAUUCUGCAGUAUUUACUGACUUACAGAUAAUAAUCUUGCAUUACAACUAGUAGGUAAAGGUCAGCUUGCAUGAUUCACUGUUAAUUUGUUUUCAUUUAAACUAAUUUACUUGGAAUUUGUACAGCAUUGGCUCCCUAAGGGAAUGCAGCGAAAACUAUGACCUGAUGACAAGUAGAACAUUAAAUUAUAACAGAAUUAUUAAUAAAAGAAUCUUUUUAUAAUUUGUUAAAAAUAUUGGGAGAUAUUAGCAACUUAUUUAUGUAAGAUAUGGAAAGUACGUCUGUAAUAUAAUUGCAUAUAAAUUAAAAAUUUGUCUGGGGAGAUUGUACAGUGGUCAUAGUUUUAAGAUGAUUGGCAGAUAUAUUAACAUUGAAUGCCCCAGGAGAAAGAUAAUGAAUUCUGGGUUUUGAUUUUUUUUUUAUUUCCAAGGAGAGCGUUAGUGUGUUCUUUUGUUUGUGAUGCUUGACAAUGUCAUAACUAGUUGACUUAAAAAAAUGAAGUCACUUACAUUGCUGGUCUUGCUAAUAGCUAACUGGGUUAUUUUCACUUUCAUUUAGCUUAGGAGACAGAGCUAGAAAAAAGAAUGAAUAACAGUCUCAAGAAAUAAAAGGAAACUUGUUUCAAGUACAUGCAGAUAAGAUAUUUUAGGUGUCAUUGAAUCUUUUCUUAGAAUAUAGCUUCUUCACUUGUUGACUGGAAAACCAAAGAUAUGCUUUCUAAAUUAGACCCCCUAGCUCUUUUGUUUAUUUAUUGUGACAUGAGAAGUAAUGUAUUAAUUAAAAAACUUGCCAGCCAUAGAUCUGACCUAGGUAAUCUGAUUUAGGUUAGUCUAUAACCACCUGAAGUCUAUAACUAAUUUAUAGACUUCUGCAUGACUAUAGGAUGGCAACUCCAGAUGCCUAAAUAUAGUCAGAAGUGGUAGCUCAAAACACUCCUUUAUUUCCCAUUAACAACAGAUACUGACAUGUUUGCACUCUGCUCACUCAUCAGACUACACAGACAUUUUCUUCACUUUGUUAAAAUAUAUUUUCUUUGUUAAAAAGGUAAUAUUUGCACAUGUUCUUACAUGUCACAUCAUAUGACAGUGACAGCUAAUGCUCAUCUCUAGUUAAAAAUAUAGCUACUGAUUAACACUGUUCUUAGUAAUACACAACAGGAUGUACUGCAAUGUAGUGGGAAGAGCAGAAAAAGAUCAUUUAGAAGACCUGACAUCCAAUUUCUUGGAACUGACACAUGCUGAAUAUGCCCUUAACACCUUUUCAAACAUAAUAUACCUGACAGCCUAUUUUAUCACAUGCUUACAGAAACCAGUUUAACUUUUAUUUCAAAGGCUCUCCUCCAUAUUGUACUGUAAAAAAUGAGAAAACUUAUUAAUCUCUAAAUGCUUAACUUGUCCAUUUUGUCAUAUAAACCCAUUACUGAUAGAUCCUAAAUUUUAUUUUAAACUACAUAAUACCCAAAGUAUUUGUAUAAUUUGAAUAAUAUUGUAAAGUGUAAAUAUUUGGAAGAUUCCAUAAAAAAAAGGCUUAUUUAAUAAACAGAUAAUUAAAUAUUAGCAGCAAAGAGACCUGGCUGGAUGUGUAUCUAUCUUUGUCUAAUAAUGCUAAUGGAUUUUAUGAAUAUAAUUUUAUUAAAUAUGAAUAAUUUAUUAUGUAUUUAAUUUGUGGAGUAAGCUAGCAAAAUUUCUCUCAUGCAAGACAGUCUUAGCAUACUUCAAGAUUCGUCUUUCUUUUGCAAUAUAUGCCAGGAAAUGUAAUGUCUUUAUUUCUCUGUCUAGAGACAUGAAUAUUUUUUUGGUAAUUUUUAAUGUUACUUUAAAAAAAUGAUAUUAAUUUUUCCCCAGUUCAUUUUUCCAUACCUGGGAAGACUUGUGGGAACACCUACAUGACCUGAGGUCUGGUGGGAUUUCAUUCUAUGUUACUAGCAUAACCUGAGAGCAUAUAAUUGUCCAGAACUCUUCACCAUCUAACUUCAUUUGUUGGUUUCAAAUAUAAACCAUGUUCAAUAAACAAA
This is a non-coding RNA of Taeniopygia guttata (zebra finch), 36380 nucleotides long. NCBI's taxonomy places the organism in Eukaryota, Metazoa, Chordata, Aves, Passeriformes, Estrildidae. The record is from RefSeq and is a predicted model, not a curated record.